Molecule: long non-coding RNA, 674 nt
Filed under: Panax ginseng (ginseng)
Lineage: Eukaryota; Viridiplantae; Streptophyta; Magnoliopsida; Apiales; Araliaceae
Description: long non-coding RNA (PGIN_LNC008946)
Source: RNAcentral
CCUGAUAAACUUCUACUCAUCUUCUUCCUAGUUUCUCAAAAUCAGAUCGGAAGAGGAGAGAUUGUGUUCCUUUUAAUAUGCAAAUGCAGAUCUUCAUGAUACAAAUGCAUCUCCCCACAUUAUACAUAAUCCCAACCUGUACAACCUCCUUCUUCAACCUCCAGAUCCGGAAGUCUGGAAGCAGCGACGAACUCUUCAUCUUCUUCAACCUCCAGAUCUGUACACCAUCAUCCUCUUCAUCGGCUACUUUUUUCAACAGUCAUUGUAAGAGAAAACAAAAAAUUCGUGGAACUGUGAAAGGGAUAGAAAAAGAGAAGAAGAUUCCGAUCUUGCCAUUGUUGCCGGGUUUCCGUCUGACUCUUGUUAGAUUUAUCUUCUCCGAUUGUGUUGUGUAUUGAAAGAAUGGGUGGCUUGAAGAAUUUGGUUGUUGAUGAUGGAUUUAAAAGAGUAGAUCUGAUCGAUUUUGGCAAAAGAUACAGUUGUUUCGUAUGAUUUGAUUUUCUCUUCCGAUAUGUUUAAUUUUUUGUUUUUCUUUCUAAUUUUGUGAUAUACUAAAACAUUUAAAGACAUUUACUUUUUAGUAUAUUCCAAUUGUAACAAAUAUUAUUUGUAACUUGUUUUAAAUUUGUUGGGAUGGAUCAGAUAUUUAUUGGAUGGGUCGGAUCUUCGUUUUC